Long non-coding RNA from Heterocephalus glaber (naked mole-rat), 461 nucleotides. Lineage: Eukaryota; Metazoa; Chordata; Mammalia; Rodentia; Bathyergidae. The record is from Ensembl.
CGGACAUCACUGCGCAGCGCACGCGCAAUAGCUCCAGAGAGGGACGUACCACCGCCAGUGGGAACGAAAAGCAGAACUGCAGAAUUGCUGGAUUGGACAUGGGCUGUCAGAAGCCAAAGAUGACUGUAGUAUUUCUGCCCUGAUCAGCUAGAAGAAUGGAGUUGCCAGAUACCAAGAUAUGGAAGAAGGUACAAGGAACAGAAUUCAGCAGUGAAGCCAUCCAGACCUGGGCUUUUCUUUGUUGGUGCAUCUAUUUCCUGGAAAUGUCUCAAAUUUGUCCUUUAUUUCCAAAUAGUAUUCCAUUAUGUAUAGAUAUCACAUUUUCUUUAUCCAAUCAUCUGUUAAUGGGUAUACAGGUUGCUUCCAGAAUUUAUUUACUAUGAAUUGUGCUUCUAUAAACACUGGUAUGCACUAUAGUAUGAUGUCUUUCACUCUUUGAGGAAGAUACCUGGCAAGGAGAU